AAUAUUUUACAAUGGGCGAAAGCCUGAUCCAGCCAUGCCGCGUGUGUGAAGAAGGUCUUCGUAUUUUAAAGCACUUUAUGUUGGGAGGAUGGGCUGUAAGUUAAUACCUUUCUGUUUUGACGUUACCGACAUAAUACGCACCGGCUACCUUCGUGCCAGCAUCCUCGGUAAUACUAAGGGUGCAAGCGUUAAUCGGAAUUACUGGGCGUAAAGCGCGCGUAGGUGGUUUGUUAAGUUGGAAGUGAAAGCCCCGGGCUCAACCUGGGAACUGCCUUCAAAACUGGCAAGCUAGAGUAUGGCAGAGGGUGGUGGAAUUUCCUGCGUAGCGGUGAAAUGCGUAGAUAUAGGAAGGAACACCAGUGGCGAAGGCGACCACCUGGGCUAAUACUGACACUGAGGUGCGAAAGCGUGGGGAGCAAAC
RNAcentral lists this ribosomal RNA (421 nucleotides) under uncultured bacterium. RNAcentral describes it as "partial 16S ribosomal RNA". It matches the Rfam family "Bacterial small subunit ribosomal RNA", at positions 360 to 773 of the family's 1533-position model. The record is from RNAcentral.